RNAcentral lists this unclassified non-coding RNA (828 nucleotides) under Hevea brasiliensis (rubber tree). The record is from RNAcentral. Lineage: Eukaryota; Viridiplantae; Streptophyta; Magnoliopsida; Malpighiales; Euphorbiaceae.
GGCGGAGAUUGGAGGGGAAGGUAGCGAUCGUGACAGCCUCCACGCAGGGCAUCGGCUUCGCCAUCGCCGAGCGUUUCGGCGUCGAGGGCGCCGCCGUCGUCGUCUCCUCCCGGAAGCAGAAGAACGUCGACGAGGCGGUGGAGAAGCUGCGAUCGAAGGGGAUCGAGACGAUUGGCCUCGUCUGUCACGUCUCCAACGCCCAGCACCGCAAGGAUCUCAUCGACAGGACCGUUCAGAAAUAUGGCCAUAUUGAUAUAAUUGUGUCCAAUGCGGCUGCUAAUCCAACAGUAGAGAACAUAUUGAAUGAAAAAGAGUCAGUUCUCGAUAAACUCUGGGAGAUAAAUGUGAAGGCUUCAAUCCUGAUACUGCAGGAUGCCGCGGCCCACUUGCGUAAAGGAUCAUCUGUGAUCCUUAUUUCUUCUAUCGCAGGUUAUAGUCCUCAAGCAUCAAUGGCCAUGUAUGGGGUUACCAAGACUGCUCUUCUUGGGCUUACAAAGGCUCUUGCUGCCGAAUUGAGCCCGCAUACGCGAGUCAACUGCAUAGCUCCUGGCUUUGUGCCAACACAUUUCGCCGACUUCCUGACAAAGAGUGACACCAUUAGGAAAUCGAUCGAGGCGAAAACUUUGCUUGGGAGGCUGGGGACCAUUGAAGACAUGGCUGGAGCGGCAGCCUUCCUGGCAUCAGAUGAUGCAGGAUACAUAACCGGAGAAACCCUUGUGGUUGCCGGAGGGAUGCCGUCAAGACUCUAAUCCCGACAAUGCUCCGGUUGUGUUUUAGGGAACUCUGGUCGUAUAGAAUUUGCUAGUCAAUUCUAGCCAAUAAAUUUGC